AUUGAACGCUGUCGGCAGGCUUAACACAUGCAAGUCGAGCGGGGGAAGGUAGCUUGCUACCGGACCUAGCGGCGGACGGGUGAGUAAUGCUUAGGAAUCUGCCUAUUAGUGGGGGACAACAUCUCGAAAGGGAUGCUAAUACCGCAUACGUCCUACGGGAGAAAGCAGGUGAUCUUCGGACCUUGCGCUAAUAGAUGAGCCUAAGUCGGAUUAGCUAGUUGGUGGGGUAAAGGCCUACCAAGGCGACGAUCUGUAGCGGGUCUGAGAGGAUGAUCCGCCACACUGGGACUGGGACACGGCCAAGACUCCUACGGGAGGCAGCAGUGGGGGAUAUUGGACAAUGGGGGGAACCCUGAUCCAGCCAUGCCGCGUGUGUGAAGAAGGCCUUAUGGUUGUAAAGCACUUUAAGCGAGGAGGAGGCUCUUUUGGUUAAUACGCAAGAUGAGUGGACGUUACUCGCAGAAUAAGCACCGGCUAACUCUGUGCCAGCCGCCGCCGUAA
RNAcentral lists this ribosomal RNA (501 nucleotides) under uncultured bacterium. RNAcentral describes it as "partial 16S ribosomal RNA". It matches the Rfam family "Bacterial small subunit ribosomal RNA", at positions 30 to 523 of the family's 1533-position model. The record is from RNAcentral.